Molecule: ribosomal RNA, 501 nt
Filed under: uncultured bacterium
Lineage: Bacteria
Description: partial 16S ribosomal RNA
Rfam family: Bacterial small subunit ribosomal RNA
Source: RNAcentral
AUUGAACGCUGGCGGCAGGCUUAACACAUGCAAGUCGAGCGGGGAAAGGUAGCUUGCUACCUGACCUAGCGGCGGACGGGUGAGUAAUGCUUAGGAAUCUGCCUAUUAGUGGGGGACAACGUUCCGAAAGGAACGCUAAUACCGCAUACGUCCUACGGGAGAAAGCAGGGGAUCUUCGGACCUUGCGCUAAUAGAUGAGCCUAAGUCGGAUUAGCUAGUUGGUGGGGUAAAGGCCUACCAAGGCGACGAUCUGUAGCGGGUCUGAGAGGAUGAUCCGCCACACUGGGACUGAGACACGGCCCAGACUCCUACGGGAGGCAGCAGUGGGGAAUAUUGGACAAUGGGCGGAAGCCUGAUCCAGCCAUGCCGCGUGUGUGAAGAAGGCCUUUUGGUUGUAAAGCACUUUAAGCGAGGAGGAGGCUCCUUUAGUUAAUACCUAAAGUGAGUGGACGUUACUCGCAGAAUAAGCACCGGCUAACUCUGUGCCAGCCGCCGCAGUAA